Molecule: long non-coding RNA, 656 nt
Organism: Gallus gallus (chicken)
Lineage: Eukaryota; Metazoa; Chordata; Aves; Galliformes; Phasianidae
Exons: 3
Source: RefSeq, a predicted model, not a curated record
CAGGUAACCACUCACCUCUCCCUCGAGUUCCAGAGCCUCAAACCUAUUAUGUAGGGGCACCUGGGCAACUGAGAUCGUUCUAGUGCAGUUCCAAGCAAAUUACAGCAUUUGGUGGAACAGAGGCAUGAAACUGUUAUGUGUGGAGUAAGAAUAUGUCCUUGUUGCAGGAGGUGAAAGGAACAUAUUGGACUUAUAAAAAAGGAAAAGACAAAGCACAAAUAAAAGUCUGCUCUGGGAGGACACUUAGACAAUCACAGAAUAAAAAUAGCAAGAUGGAGGUAGCUACCAAGAAAUGGAAGUGGCAAAAGAAAAGCGUAUUUUGAAAUGACAACAAAAGAGUGAAUUACUUUUGUGACUGAGAAGCUGAAUGAAAGUGCCAAGGUCAAUGGGAUGGUAGACAAUGGGAAGAGGACAAAGAAAGAGGAGCCUAGUCAUUUGAUAACUCGGCCACAGGGAAGAAAAUUUGAGAGUUACAGAAAGGAAGAAAAGAGUGAGAACAAGACAUAAAGGAAGAAAGAGGUAACAUCUGGUCCCAGAGCACUGAGGAAGAUGAUAAAGAAAAUGAAGGCAGAAAUAAACAGCACUACAGAAAUCAGGAAACAGCAAGUAGUAUACAACUAAAAGUAUAACAAUUUAAAAAUCAGAGUUCCUUUUCU